RNAcentral lists this ribosomal RNA (1277 nucleotides) under metagenome. RNAcentral's name for it is "SSU rRNA". It matches the Rfam family "Eukaryotic small subunit ribosomal RNA", at positions 1 to 1312 of the family's 1831-position model. The record is from RNAcentral.
UCUGGUUGAUCCUGCCAGUAGUCAUAUGCUUGUCUCAAAGAUUAAGCCAUGCAUGUCUAAGUAUAAAUAGUAUACAGUGAAACUGCGAAUGGCUCUUUAAAACAGUUAUAGUUUAUUUGAUAAUUGACAAUUACAUGGAUAACCGUGGUAAUUCUAGAGCUAAUACAUGCUUAAACGCCCGACUUUAUGGAAGGGUGGUAUUUAUUAGACUGAAGCCAAUAUUCCUUGUGUCUAUUGCGGUGAUUCAUAAUAACUGAUCGAAUCUCUUUUUGAGAUAAAUCAUUCAAGUUUCUGCCCUAUCAGCUUUCGAUGGUAGUGUAUUGGACUACCAUGGCAGUAACGGGUAACGAAGAAUUAGGGUUCGAUUUCGGAGAGGGAGCAUGAGAAACGGCUACCACAUCUAAGGAAGGCAGCAGGCGCGUAAAUUACCCGAUCCUGACUCAGGGAGGUAGUGACAAGAAAUAGCAAACCGGGAACCUCAUGGUUUCACGGUAUUGCAAUGAGAACAAUUUAAAACCCUUAGCGAGAAUCAAGUGGAGGACAAGUCUGGUGCCAGCACCCGCGGUAAUUCCAGCUCCACUAGCGUAUAUUAAAGUUGUUGCAGUUAAAAAGCUCGUAGUUGAACCUCUGUCUGGGGCUAGUUUUGGCUUUGGUCAGGCUAGUUCUAGGCAUCCGCCUACAAGACUUAGAGGGCAUUCAGUUGUUCACUAGGAGGAGUAGGCAUUUUACUUUGAAAAAAUUAGAGUGUUUAAGGCAGGCAAUCGCCCGCAUAUAUUAGCAUGGAAUAAUAGAAUAGGACACUUUUCCAUUUCGUUGGUUAUUGGAAUCGUGUAAUGAUUAAUAGGGACAGUUGUGGGCAUUUGUAUUUAAUUGUCAGAGGUGAAAUUCUUGGAUUUAUUAAAGACAAACUAACGCGAAAGCAUUUGUCAAGGAUGUUUUCAUUAAUCAAGAACGAAAGUUAGGGGAUCAAAGACGAUCAGAUACCGUCCUAGUCUUAACUAUAAACUAUUCCGACUCAAUGUUUGACUGGCUUAUAUAACCAGUUGAGCGUUGUAUGAGAAAUCAAAGUCUUUAGGUUCUGGGGGGAGUAUGGUUGCAAAGCUGAAACUUAAAGGAAUUGACGGAAGAGCACAACCAGGAGUGGAUUCUGCGGCUUAAUUUGACUCAACACGGGGAAACUUACCAGGUUGAAACAAUAGUGGGAUUGACAGUUUGAGAGCGCUUUCUUGAUUGGUUGGGUGGUGGUGCAUGGCCGUUCUUAGUUGGUGGAGUGAUUU